This 259-nucleotide long non-coding RNA is filed under the name Mytilus galloprovincialis (Mediterranean mussel). The record is from RNAcentral. Lineage: Eukaryota; Metazoa; Mollusca; Bivalvia; Mytilida; Mytilidae.
UUUUUACUAAUUGUUGUCUAGUGGCAUAAUUUUAAUUAUUUGAAUAAAAUAUGUUGAAGUUUGUUGAAAAAAUCACCGAAUAUUGAUAUUGCCGCAAUCAAUUUCAUCAUUUUCCCUUUGAUUGCAGUAGAAUACUGCAAUACAAUGUAUUUAUCUUUGUUGGUAUUUGUUAACAAAAUAAUUGUAUUCAGUCAUUCACUAAUGUAUGCAGUAUAACUUAGACUAGUCUCAGAGUAUUUUAAUGAGUGAACUUGUAAAU